This 373-nucleotide long non-coding RNA is filed under the name Cucumis sativus (cucumber). Its description in RNAcentral is "long non-coding RNA (CSAT_LNC001045)". Lineage: Eukaryota; Viridiplantae; Streptophyta; Magnoliopsida; Cucurbitales; Cucurbitaceae. The record is from RNAcentral.
AACUUUUCUCCUUUCUUCAAACCCUUCAUCCAUGGCGUCGCCUCUCUUUCUCCUCUUUCUCUUCACAAUUUCCUUCUCAAUUCCAUCUCAAGCUCGUCCUUGCAAAUCCCUUUUCCUUUCCUUUUCCCUUCACCGUCACCGAACCCUCGAUUCCCCCCAUCCCUUCUCCCAGAUGGCCAUUAUCGUCGACAUCACCGAAUUCAAAUCUUCCUCCUUUUCCUCUUCUCCCGAUCCCCUUUUCCCCUCCGUCGCCGACCCCACCGACAUCCUCCGCUUCGAUCUCCCUCGUCCUACCCCUGUUUCAGCAUCAACCCAACACUUCCCUUACGAUUUCACCUCUCUCCGUGAUCGCACCAAGGAUAUUCUCAGCGUU